This is a long non-coding RNA of Bos taurus (domestic cattle), 640 nucleotides long. The record is from Ensembl. NCBI's taxonomy places the organism in Eukaryota, Metazoa, Chordata, Mammalia, Artiodactyla, Bovidae.
AGACAAGGUCUCAGGGUUGCUUCCCAGUCCCUCGUUUCUCCUCCCUGCCGCCUUUCCCGCCGUCUUCUCUGAGGGCUCUGUUGGCGGUCCUGUCUUGCCUGCCAUUGUUCUGGACCCUGCACAUUUCAGAGGUCUAGAAGUCUCCUGCCCACCGUCAGCCAAGAGGAAAUGGCCAGGUCAGGACCCAGGCCCAGAUAGGAAUCCUUCCCCACGCCGGUGGCUCCAGAUCUUCAAGCUUGUGACCCCUAGUUCAGGGCCCACUGGGGUACCAAGGUGAAUGACUUUGCCUAGCUGCAAGCUAGAGUAGGAAGACAUGUACCGAGAACCUCAGUUAUAUGGUGAGGGCUGAGACCUUCCAGAAAAUCAGAUGGCAGCCUUCUUGCUGUGUCUUCAUACGGUCUUUGCUUAUGAGCUGCAGGAGACUGGGAAGACCCUCUGGAGGAGGAGAUGGCAACCUGUUUCAGAAUGCUUGCCUGGGAAAUCCUAUGGACAGAGAAGCCUUGAAGGCUUCAGUCCGUGGGGUCACAAAGAGUCAGACAUGACUGAAGUGACUGAGCAUGCACACAUACAUUUAGUAACUGACAGAAUGAUGUCUUUUCUUGUGUUGGUAAUUAUCUUUGCUUUUAGAACUCAAUAAAAA